GUGCUCACUUCAGCAGCACAUAUACUAAAAUUGAAACGAUACAGAGAUGAUUAGCAGGGACCCCGCAAGGAUGACAUGCAAAUUCAUGAAAUAAUAAAUAAAAUA
This is a small nuclear RNA of Rattus norvegicus (Norway rat), 105 nucleotides long. The record is from Ensembl. Lineage: Eukaryota; Metazoa; Chordata; Mammalia; Rodentia; Muridae.